RNAcentral lists this long non-coding RNA (1349 nucleotides) under Gallus gallus (chicken). Lineage: Eukaryota; Metazoa; Chordata; Aves; Galliformes; Phasianidae. The record is from RNAcentral.
CGCAGCGCCGCCCGGACCCGGAGCCGGGCUGUAACGGCGCGAGGCGGGGCGCGCGGACGCGGGGCAGCGGGAAACGAGCGCGUGCCCGGCCUUCCCGCCGCUGCUGCUGCUGCGGCGGCACGGGGGGGGAGAAGGCGGGAAAGGAGGGCGGGAGCGCCGCCCUGGGCUCAGCGCACGCCCUUGUAAAUCACACCCUGGUGCAGAACUUCGCGUUCGCUUUUUGGCUGUUGCUUCGCUCACACGUGUCGUCUGGCGCUACUAGAGCUAGCAGAUGACAGCGUGACGGUUAGCCGCAUUUCCCGGCCUUCCGGGCAGCUGCUUCAGCAAAAGUAACAAAACCCGUAGCAACUCGCGUUGGCGGCAGCACUGGGGCGCGGCCUGUGGAAACCUCCGCACCUCCCGUACCGGUAAUGGCUGCAGGCGCGUCGGGGACAGAAGCGACGGGCAACGCUGGUGGAGCCGGGAGCGCAGGAGGGGCCGGCGCCGCCCGCGUGCCGUAUGGGAUCCCCGCAGCCGGGCUGAGGCAAGUUCUGGACGUUACUUUUGGUCAAUGCCUGUGAAAACCGUUCUCUCUAGAAAAUCCUGUGCAUGGAAUUACGGCAUCUCCAUAAUUGCUGUGAAAUCAUCUCAUCUACUUAUUCUGGAAGAAGCUGGAGGUGACAGCCACCUGCUGCCACAGAGCAACUCCGAGCCAGAACCACUCCUGAGCACCGGAUGGGAACUGUUAUCACGUAUUUGAAGACAGGUUGCUGAGAAGAGGUGGGACAGGGCCCAGGAACCCUGCAGGUGACACACGUACCUCCUGUACUGAGUACUGGCCUCAAAUGACUCAGCCACUUGGAAUGUCCACAAUCACAAGCAAGGCACCCACCUUUGUAGCUGAAGAAAGCUCAUAACGGAGAAAGACACGUGGUAGAGGGUUUCUUUCGCCGGGAGAUCCUCACCAAUUACAUUAUGCAAGCAGUCUGCACGUGAAGUUGUACCACCUGAUCAAGUUUGGCACCAGACAUGGGAAUUUUAGUAAUUUGAGGAUAAAAGUAUUGAAGAUGACUGAGGGGGAAGACUGAUUCAAAUCCAUCUCUGAAAGAAUCAAACUGUCUGGCAACACCUUCGUUAAGUGCCCAGAAUAUAACCAACUGCAAAGGAACAGCAAAAGAGUUACUUGAAAAAAAAAUGAAGUGCAGAAUGAUCGCAGCUGUACAGAAGACUAGAGCUACAGAAAAACACUCCAGAUGUCAAAUAAAGCAGCAGUUGUUUCACAAAUCCACUAUGCUGGAUUUCAAAUGAGGAGACGUCAGACUCCGAGACAAUGCUACGGAUUUCUACAAGGCACUCUGUUCCACCAUCCA